Molecule: ribosomal RNA, 440 nt
Filed under: uncultured bacterium
Lineage: Bacteria
Description: partial 16S ribosomal RNA
Rfam family: Bacterial small subunit ribosomal RNA
Source: RNAcentral
CCUACGGGAGGCAGCAGUGGGGAAUAUUGGACAAUGGGGGGAACCCUGAUGCAGCGACGCCGCGUGAGUGAAGAAGGAUUUCGGUAUGUUAAGCUCUAUCAGCAGGGAAGAAAAUGACGGUACCUGUCUACGAAGCCCCGGCUAACUACGUGCCAGCAGCCGCGGUAAUACGUAGGGGGCAAGCGUUAUCCGGAUUUACUGGGUGUAAAGGGAGCGCAGACGGCUGUGCAAGUCUGGAGUGAAAGGCGGGGGCCCAACCCCCGGACUGCUCUGGAAACUGUAAAGCUGGAGUGCAGGAGAGGUAAGCGGAAUUCCUAGUGUAGCGGUGAAAUGCGUAGAUAUUAGGAGGAACACCAGUGGCGAAGGCGGCUUACUGGACUGCAACUGACGUUGAGGCUCGAAAGCGUGGGGAGCAAACAGGAUUAGAUACCCUUGUAGUC